GACGGAGGAUGCAAAUGUUAUCCGGAAUCACUGGGCGUAAAGCGUCUGUAGGUGGUUUAAUAAGUCAACUGUUAAAUCUUGAGGCUCAACCUCAAAAUCGCAGUCGAAACUAUUAGGCUAGAGUAUAGUAGGGGUAAAGGGAAUUUCCAGUGGAGCGGUGAAAUGCGUAGAGAUUGGAAAGAACACCGAUGGCGAAGGCACUUUACUGGGCUAUUACUAACACUCAGAGACGAAAGCUAGGGUAGCAAAUGGG
Molecule: ribosomal RNA, 253 nt
Filed under: uncultured bacterium
Lineage: Bacteria
Description: partial 16S ribosomal RNA
Rfam family: Bacterial small subunit ribosomal RNA
Source: RNAcentral